CCUACGGGUGGCUGCAGUGGGGAAUAUUGGACAAUGGGCGAAAGCCUGAUCCAGCCAUGCCGCGUGUGUGAAGAAGGCCUUCGGGUUGUAAAGCACUUUCAGUGGGGAAGAAAGCCUUGGGGCUAAUACCCUCGAGGAAGGACAUCACCCACAGAAGAAGCACCGGCUAACUCCGUGCCAGCAGCCGCGGUAAUACGGAGGGUGCGAGCGUUAAUCGGAAUUACUGGGCGUAAAGCGCGCGUAGGCGGUCUGAUAAGCCGGUUGUGAAAGCCCCGGGCUCAACCUGGGAACGGCAUCCGGAACUGUCAGGCUAGAGUGCAGGAGAGGAAGGUAGAAUUCCCGGUGUAGCGGUGAAAUGCGUAGAGAUCGGGAGGAAUACCAGUGGCGAAGGCGGCCUUCUGGACCGACACUGACGCUGAGGUGCGAAAGCGUGGGUAGCAAACAGGAUUAGAUACCCCUGUAGUC
Molecule: ribosomal RNA, 465 nt
Filed under: Vreelandella stevensii
Lineage: Bacteria; Pseudomonadati; Pseudomonadota; Gammaproteobacteria; Oceanospirillales; Halomonadaceae
Description: partial 16S ribosomal RNA
Rfam family: Bacterial small subunit ribosomal RNA
Source: RNAcentral